Molecule: long non-coding RNA, 454 nt
Filed under: Homo sapiens (human)
Lineage: Eukaryota; Metazoa; Chordata; Mammalia; Primates; Hominidae
Description: non-protein coding lnc-PRPS1L1-3:1
Source: RNAcentral
CUUCCAAGAUGGCGGCGCGUCCGUCGCGAGCGACCGGGCCGAGGGGAGGCCAGCGAAGCCGAGUAAAACCGCCGCCCGGGAGAAGACUGAAGGAGCAGUUGCCGCCGUUGGCGGCGGCCCGAGCAGUUUUCGCUGCUGCUACGGCUGUUGCCAUGAGGCGAGGCUAGGGAGGACCUCACUUCCCCGGGGUGUAAUAAUGUUAACUGAGGAUGAAAGAAAAAACUUGACUGGAAGCUCCAGAAAAUUAUAGUGGAAAAGGAGACAGACUGAGUCCCUGGGCUUAGAAGAUUUAGAGAUUGAUUAUAUUGGGAGCUAGUUUCAAGAUGAAAUACUAAUUCUAAGCCAGUCUAUCCAUAUGGGGAUGGGGAAGCCUUGGCAUUGUCCUUUUUCUGAUAACCUUUGGACCCUUUGUAAUAUUUUAUUUGACAUUUUAUAUCCUCUGCUUUGUGGGUGG